CGGGCGGACGGGUGAGUAACACGUGGGUAAUCUGCCUUAUACAGGGGGAUAACAGUUAGAAAUGACUGCUAAUACCGCAUAAGCGCACGGGGACGCAUGUUUCUGUGUGAAAAACUCCGGUAGUAUAAGAUGAGCCCGCGUCUGAUUAGCUGGUUGGUGGGGUAACGGCCUACCAAGGCGACGAUCAGUAGCCGGCCUGAGAGGGUGAACGGCCACAUUGGGACUGAGACACGGCCCAAACUCCUACGGGAGGCAGCAG
RNAcentral lists this ribosomal RNA (259 nucleotides) under uncultured bacterium. Its description in RNAcentral is "partial 16S ribosomal RNA". It matches the Rfam family "Bacterial small subunit ribosomal RNA", at positions 95 to 354 of the family's 1533-position model. The record is from RNAcentral.